Long non-coding RNA from Amphimedon queenslandica, 334 nucleotides. RefSeq lists it as uncharacterized. The transcript has 2 exons. The record is from RefSeq and is a predicted model, not a curated record. NCBI's taxonomy places the organism in Eukaryota, Metazoa, Porifera, Demospongiae, Haplosclerida, Niphatidae.
AAGGGAGAAGGUGAUGAAAGAAUUGCUUUUUUAUUCACUUCAAGUACAUGUAGCUCCUCAAAUGAAGAGCUCGAUGUCUGUAUGUAAGACAUCACAUUGUGAGGCAAAGAAUUUGUUAAAGAAAUUAAUUAAAAGGAAUGAAUGGAGCUUGGUAAACAAUGGAACUUACAGCCUCUAAAGUAUGGGACCCUGAACGUUGUGCCAUUCAAUCUGUGGAGACUAUAAUGGAGUGAAGCCGAAUUUCUUGAACACCAAAAAUCAUCUGUGGCUAAGCAAUGCCUGUCAAUAUAAUACCUUGAUGUUAAAGAUCCAACAAUCAGCUAUUCUUAUCCAA